This 280-nucleotide ribosomal RNA is filed under the name uncultured bacterium. RNAcentral describes it as "partial 16S ribosomal RNA". It matches the Rfam family "Bacterial small subunit ribosomal RNA", at positions 68 to 342 of the family's 1533-position model. The record is from RNAcentral.
GGCAGCAUGAACUUAGCUUGCUAAGUUUGAUGGCGACCGGCGCACGGGUGAGUAACACGUAUCCAACCUUCCGUUUACUCAGGGAUAGCCUUUCGAAAGAAAGAUUAAUACCUGAUAGUAUGGUGAGAUUGCAUGAUAGCACCAUUAAAGAUUUAUUGGUAAACGAUGGGGAUGCGUUCCAUUAGGUAGUAGGCGGGUAACGGCCCACCUAGCCGACGAUGGAUAGGGGUUCUGAGAGGAAGGUCCCCACAUUGGAACUGAGACACGGUCCAAACUCUAC